RNAcentral lists this ribosomal RNA (429 nucleotides) under Pseudomonadota bacterium. RNAcentral describes it as "Proteobacteria bacterium partial 16S ribosomal RNA". It matches the Rfam family "Bacterial small subunit ribosomal RNA", at positions 355 to 776 of the family's 1533-position model. The record is from RNAcentral. Lineage: Bacteria; Pseudomonadati; Pseudomonadota.
UGGGGAAUAUUGGACAAUGGGCGAAAGCCUGAUCCAGCCAUGCCGCGUGUGUGAAGAAGGUCUUCGGAUUGUAAAGCACUUUAAGUUGGGAGGAAGGGCAGUAAGCGAAUACCUUGCUGUUUUGACGUUACCGACAGAAUAAGCACCGGCUAAAUCUGUGCCAGCAGCCGCGGUAAUACAGAGGGUGCAAGCGUUAAUCGGAAUUACUGGGUGUAAAGCGCGCGUAGGUGGUUCGUUAAGUUGAAUGUGAAAGCCCCGGGCUCAACCUUGGAACUGCAUCCAAAACUGGCGAUCUAGAGUAGGGCAGAGGGUGGUGGAAUUUCCUGUUUAGCGGUGAAAUGCGUAGAUAUAGGAAGGAACACCAGUGGCGAAGGCGACCACCUUGGCUCAUACUGACACUGAGGUGCGAAAGCGUGGGGAGCAAACAGG